RNAcentral lists this ribosomal RNA (1170 nucleotides) under Liquorilactobacillus uvarum. Its description in RNAcentral is "bacterial SSU rRNA". It matches the Rfam family "Bacterial small subunit ribosomal RNA", at positions 155 to 1313 of the family's 1533-position model. The record is from RNAcentral. Lineage: Bacteria; Bacillati; Bacillota; Bacilli; Lactobacillales; Lactobacillaceae.
AACAGGUGCUAAUACCGUAUAACAACAAAGACCGCAUGGUCUUUGUUUAAAAGAUGGUUCUGCUAUCACUUCUGGAUGGACCCGCGGCGUAUUAGCUAGUUGGUGAGGUAAUGGCUCACCAAGGCAAUGAUACGUAGCCGAACUGAGAGGUUGAUCGGCCACAUUGGGACUGAGACACGGCCCAAACUCCUACGGGAGGCAGCAGUAGGGAAUCUUCCACAAUGGACGAAAGUCUGAUGGAGCAACGCCGCGUGAGUGAAGAAGGUUUUCGGAUCGUAAAACUCUGUUGUUAGAGAAGAACGUGUGUGAGAGUAACUGUUCAUGCAGUGACGGUAUCUAACCAGAAAGCCACGGCUAACUACGUGCCAGCAGCCGCGGUAAUACGUAGGUGGCAAGCGUUGUCCGGAUUUAUUGGGCGUAAAGGGAACGCAGGCGGUUUUUUAAGUCUGAUGUGAAAGCCUUCGGCUUAACCGAAGUCAUGCAUUGGAAACUGGAAGACUUGAGUGCAGAAGAGGAGAGUGGAACUCCAUGUGUAGCGGUGAAAUGCGUAGAUAUAUGGAAGAACACCAGUGGCGAAAGCGGCUCUCUGGUCUGUAACUGACGCUGAGGUUCGAAAGCAUGGGUAGCAAACAGGAUUAGAUACCCUGGUAGUCCAUGCCGUAAACGAUGAAUGCUAAGUGUUGGAGGGUUUCCGCCCUUCAGUGCUGCAGCUAACGCAUUAAGCAUUCCGCCUGGGGAGUACGACCGCAAGGUUGAAACUCAAAGGAAUUGACGGGGGCCCGCACAAGCGGUGGAGCAUGUGGUUUAAUUCGAAGCAACGCGAAGAACCUUACCAGGUCUUGACAUCUUUUGCCAAUCUGAGAGAUCAGAUGUUCCCUUCGGGGACAGAAUGACAGGUGGUGCAUGGUUGUCGUCAGCUCGUGUCGUGAGAUGUUGGGUUAAGUCCCGCAACGAGCGCAACCCUUAUUACUAGUUGCCAGCAUUUAGUUGGGCACUCUAGUGAGACUGCCGGUGAUAAACCGGAGGAAGGUGGGGAUGACGUCAAAUCAUCAUGCCCCUUAUGACCUGGGCUACACACGUGCUACAAUGGACAGUACAACGAGUCGCAAGACCGCGAGGUCAAGCUAAUCUCUUAAAGCUGUUCUCAGUUCGGAUUGUAGGCUGCAACUC